CUCUUCAGGUGCUCAAGUCCAGGGGCUCUCCUGUUCUUUUUGGUACUGACUUCCGCGUGACAAUUCAAUCAGUCUUUCGUCCCAGGCCCAUUGCUGCUCCUCGAGCUGGGUCUCCCUGCACCUCGCGUUUAGGCACCCUUUGUAGCUGCCGAACCUGCCUUCUUUCGGUGGGAGUUCAUUCUCCAACACCCAGGGGCCGCACCGCAGCCCUUGCUCACACCAAGUCUUGGUUCCUGUCUGCCUUCCAAGAAUGGGCUUUCGGCUCCUAACUUUCCGCAUUUUUCAGGAUCCAGAUUACAAACCAUUUUAAGAAGGACAAGUGGAAGGGGGUGGCAGGUGCAGGCACCACAUCUGGCCAGGAAGGUGCAAGAAGAAUCCCCUGAGACAGGCCAAGGAGAUGAAUGAGGAAGAUGAGGCUAUCAAGCAGAAACAAAAGAGGAGCACACGAACUUGAGGAGGUAGAAGUGAAGGCUACGCAGAAGGACCCCUGGAAUUAAGAAAUCUGGCAAAAAGAAAGCUGUUCCUGUACCUGAGAUGAUGGUGACUGAAUGGUGACAAUUCCUUCUUGAACAUCGGAAUUCCCUGCCAAAAUAUUUUUGCCACCUAUACCUACAAAGAACCAUUGUCUUGGAAUCUGUUGUAAAUUUAAGAAUAAACUUUCAUUUAAAAUAAAUAAAAACAACCACAUCUUUUUGAAAA
Long non-coding RNA from Marmota monax (woodchuck), 699 nucleotides. RefSeq lists it as uncharacterized. The record is from RefSeq and is a predicted model, not a curated record. The transcript is spliced from 2 exons. NCBI's taxonomy places the organism in Eukaryota, Metazoa, Chordata, Mammalia, Rodentia, Sciuridae.